GAUAUAGGCCUUAAAAAAUUAUUUUCUCAACUACGGAAAUAUAUUUGAAUGCUAGGUGCAUUGUUUAGGUUAUAUAUGAAUUUUUAUGAAUUUCAUGUUUUAUGCCCAGUAAUAGUGGAACUCAACGUUUGGCUGAUAGAUUCACAUUUUUAAAUGGUUAUAUUUUAGUGUUUGGGCAAUUUAGUUAGAUAUUGGAGAUGUCAAGAAUAUUCGAGGUAUUUAAUUUGACUAAAAUGCCCUCUGGUGGCAAUGUAAGUUCAUGGGGAAAAAAAGGGGCAAAUGGUCUUUUACCAUAAUUUUCUUUUGUCCUUUAGUGGGUUGAUAUUAAGCUUAGUUAAUCUGAAUUUAAGUUAUUGAAUAUUAGAUAAAAAUUAGGAUUUAUUCUUUUUAUUCAAUAAUAGAAAAUUAGAAGAAAAACAAAACACUUUCUCUCUCUCUUUCUUUGAGUCGGCCACCAAGAACCAAGGGAAAACCCAGCAAUUUUCUUGUUCAAUUCAAACCAUUUUUAGAGGAAUUCAACAGCUGUAGCUUAAGUAAUUUGUGAGGUAAAAGCUAGAACCAAACUAGUGAGAGUCUAAAGGUAAGGAUGAUUGUACAUAUCAAGGCGGUUAGACCUGGAGUGUUUAGGGUCUUUGGAACAAUUUUGGCUCACUUUGCUAGUCGCUAGUAGACAACUUUUGACGUUUAAUUAUUUUGUAACUUUUAGAACAAGAUCUCAAAUUAUGUAAAUUAUUAUGUUUAAUUAUUAAAAUGAAGUUAUUUAAUGAAGUUUUAAUUAUUCAC
This is a long non-coding RNA of Cannabis sativa, 783 nucleotides long. RefSeq lists it as uncharacterized. The transcript is spliced from 2 exons. The record is from RefSeq and is a predicted model, not a curated record. Lineage: Eukaryota; Viridiplantae; Streptophyta; Magnoliopsida; Rosales; Cannabaceae.